CGCGGCCUAUCAGCUUGUUGGUGAGGUAACGGCUCACCAAGGCAUUGACGGGUAGCUAGUCUGAGAGGACGAAUAGCCACACUGGGACUGAGACACGGCCCAGACUCCUACGGGAGGCAGCAGCAGGGAAUCUUGCACAAUGGACGAAAGUCUGAUGCAGCGACGCCGCGUGGGGGAUGAAGGCCCUAGGGUCGUAAACCCCUUUCAGUGGGGACGAAAAUGACGGUACCCACAGAAGAAGGUCCGGCCAACUACGUGCCAGCAGCCGCGGUAAGACGUAGGGACCGAGCGUUGUCCGGAAUUAUUGGGCGUAAAGAGCUCGUAGGCGGUUGCGUAAGUCGGAUGUGAAAGCUCAGGGCUCAACCCUGAGACGCCAUCCGAUACUGCGCUGACUUGAAUCCAGUAGGGGAGUGUGGAAUUCCUGGUGUAGCGGUGAAAUGCGCAGAUAUCAGGAGGAACACCUAUGGCGAAGGCAGCACUCUGGGCUGGUAUUGACGCUGAGGAGCGAAAGCAUGGGUAGCAAACAGGAUUAGAUACCCUGGUAGUCCAUGCCGUAAACGGUGGGCACUAGGUGUGGGGACUUUCAACGGUUUCCGUGCCGAAGCUAACGCAUUAAGUGCCCCGCCUGGGGAGUACGG
Molecule: ribosomal RNA, 638 nt
Filed under: uncultured bacterium
Lineage: Bacteria
Description: bacterial SSU rRNA
Rfam family: Bacterial small subunit ribosomal RNA
Source: RNAcentral